UACGAAGGGGGCUAGCGUUGUUCGGAAUUACUGGGCGUAAAGCGCACGUAGGCGGACUCUUAAGUCAGGGGUGAAAUCCCGGGGCUCAACCUCGGAACUGCCUUUGAUACUGUGAGUCUCGAGACCGGAAGAGGUGAGUGGAAUUCCUAGUGUAGAGGUGAAAUUCGUAGAUAUUAGGAAGAACACCAGUGGCGAAGGCUGCUCACUGGUCCGGUUCUGACGCUGAGGUUCGAAAGCGUGGGGAGCAAACAAG
RNAcentral lists this ribosomal RNA (253 nucleotides) under uncultured bacterium. RNAcentral's name for it is "partial 16S ribosomal RNA". It matches the Rfam family "Bacterial small subunit ribosomal RNA", at positions 524 to 776 of the family's 1533-position model. The record is from RNAcentral.